Molecule: transfer RNA, 71 nt
Filed under: Bos taurus (domestic cattle)
Lineage: Eukaryota; Metazoa; Chordata; Mammalia; Artiodactyla; Bovidae
Also listed under: 3 other names
Rfam family: tRNA
About the family: Transfer RNA (tRNA) molecules are approximately 80 nucleotides in length.
Source: Rfam by way of RNAcentral
UCCCUGGUGGCUCAGUGGUAAAGAAUCUGUUUGCAAUGCAGGAGACCCAGGUUCGAGCCCUGGGUUGGGAA